Macaca fascicularis (crab-eating macaque) is the source of this 4174-nucleotide long non-coding RNA. The record is from Ensembl. NCBI's taxonomy places the organism in Eukaryota, Metazoa, Chordata, Mammalia, Primates, Cercopithecidae.
GCAGAGACUCGGGGUCAGCGGGUCAGAGCGCGGCUGUGUAGGGCUGCUAUUCCCGUUGGGGUAGGUUCUGCAGACCCCGGCCCCUGGAGCCACUCACCAUUUCCGACGGAUGGGCCGGAGGGGCCGCCGGCUGCACCAGCCAGGGUCUCGGUACCCUGCAAGGAGAGAAAGAGGUGCUGGGCCAGGUGUCACCGGAGCCAAGCAGCACACGACUGCCCCUGCCCACUUCCACCUCAGCCCUGACCCUCCCUGCACCUGGGAGUCCACUGUCUCCUGAUGUAUCUGAUCAGGGGCGGCCACAAGAGCACAUAUUCCGGGACGUGAUAUGUGUGGCCCAUGUUGGGGAAGAGCUGUCAUUGUUCACUGCCAUGUCCCCAAUGCUUAGCACCAUUUGUCGCAUGGGAGGUGCAGGUUAACAACCCAGUAGUGCCCAGUGGCCUGGGGGACACCUGACCUUCUGGGGCCUGUUGGCUGACAGGUGGGAGGGACUGCCAUCCAUCGUUGGGGCCAAGGAUGCUGCUCAACCUCCCACAACGCACAGAGCAGCCCGGUGCACAGAUUCACCCGGCCGCAAACACCAACUGCCGAGGUAAUACCCUGCCCCGAGGGAAGCGGACAAGGCUUGAGCAUCGAGAACACUGCAAGGGUCUCAGCCAGUGAGGGCUGCCUGGGCCCCACCGCAGGCCUGACUCCUAGAGCCAAGCCGUUUUCUCCCUUGAGGCAGUGGGUAGGGUUCUCAUGUGACAACCUUGAGUUUGCAGCUCGGCUAUGCACACAGGUGGACUCUCUGUGCUUUGUCAGUUCCUACUGCUUGGCCCUGGGGCCAAAAGCUGCUUCCCAGGCCUCACUCUGAGAAGCAUCUUCACGCCCUGGGUGGGUCCACUGCCUCUUCCCGCCGACUCUGCUCCUUGGGAAGAGCAUGUUCAUCAGCAUGGCCAGGCAGGGAGAGCUCAGGACAGCCAGACCCGGGGCCAGUGGCACAGGUAUGUGUGGGAAGGGGCACCAGGGGCCUGUCCUCCCUGCGGGCAGAGCCAUCUGUCCUCUGUGGACCUGCAGUUUCUGUAAACAUCUGGAAGGAGCCAGGAAGCAGCAACUCCGGAUGCCCAGAGGAGCCCCAGCCAAGGCGGAUGCAGCCAGGACAUCACGCCGUGGGGCUGGGCAAGGGGAGCCGAGCCGCAGGCUGGAAAGGCAGGGGUGCACGGCAGAUGGGGAUGCCGAGCCAGAUGCUGACCGAGCUCCACCCACAUUUGUGAGGGGCGUGGGAGCUGCGCCCUCAGAGGCCUUAGCUGGCUCCGGGCUUGAAUUGCGGGUCCCAAGAGCCAGCCGUGGUGUGCCAUGUGGCCUCAGGCUGAGCCUCCCUGUGUUUCUGUAAAACAGCACUCUCGUCUUUUUAUAUGAGAACCGAAUUCAAGGUCCUAGAAGUCCUCGCAUCGGAAAGGAAAAGUCGUGGUUUGAUAAGCAAUACACUCUCUGGCUGAGCCCAAGUCAAGAUUUUCAAUCCAAGUUCAGCAGCGCCCAGCUUCAGCCGGGACUGCUCUGGCCGCACCUGCUGUGAGCUGGCGCUUCUGAUUCAACACCACACUUGGUGCAAGGGUCCCAGAACAGCUGAACUGAGUCACCGACGGCGGCUCUUCCUAGAGGCGCACGUUCGGGAGAGGUGAGGCUGCGGGGCUGGGGCCCUGGGCUAAUACUCCCUGGCUUUGUGACCCUGGGCAAAUUACUCAGUCUCUCUGAGCUGCUGCUUUCUCUCCUGUGGAGUGGGCUGAUCCCAGCCACACCAGCACCCCUGGUUGUUCCGUGGUUAAUGUCUGCCAAACAUGGUGCCAUGGAGAACACCCAGCAGAGCCCGGCUCCUUGUUUGGUGGGGAGGGACAGCGCUGCAGGGGCACCUCCCCCGGCCCUCGAGUGCCUUUCCACCUUGCUUCCAGGACCUCUGCGGCUCAGAGGCAGUGCAGGUGGGCUUCGGCAACAGGGAGGGCCCAGGCCAGCACACAAGGAAGAAGGGAAGGCGCCAGGGAUCGCCCCCCGCAGGAAGGAGAGAGACAGAGGCGAAGAUAGGAAGGAUAUGCAUUGCUGCCUUGUCACUUGGGGAUUUUCAAGUCAAAAUGGGGAGGGGGCGAGGGUAGGUUUGGAAAGUAUCCAAAUGGCAUUGUUUCACAUUGCUGGCUGGGGCAACCCUCUGCAGUGACCCUAAAUACCCACUAGAGGUCACACUGCAAAAAGGGACCUCCCCUAAAGAGAGGGGACAAGGGAGUACCCCGGGCACCCCACCCCCUGCAAGGGGAGGAAGGCUGAAGCCCCGCCAUCCAUCGGGUGGGCAAAGUGCCAUGCCUCCAAGGGCAGCACAGCCAAGCGGUCCCCAGAGGGAGGACUGAGCUCCAUCUGGGCCCAGGUGACCCAGCCACAAUCCCUUCUCAGCCUCCGCCUCACCCACUGGUGUUAGGCACGGCCAGCCUAGGCAGCCACCAGUCCUCGCUGCCCAUCUGCUGUCCCCUCAACCCCAGCAGCAGACAGAAAAGCCCAAGGUCUGAGCACCCAGGAGGAUGCUGGUGUCAGAUCCCUGGAGAACAAAGCCUCUGCCCUUGUGUCUAGGUGAGGCUGCGGUACCCAGGCCCAGAGCAGGUCCCCCCGGCUGGGCUGUCCACUCUCUCACAGCAAGAGGGGAACUGUAGCAGGCAGCAGCCUUCCACUCGUUCCCCAUGACCUGAUUUUUUUUUCAUUUUAAAAUAAGAGAAACGUAUGAAAGAUGCCGCAUUUAGUCCCUUAUCAGAUCCACACUCCCCGCUGUGACCUGGGAAAUCAGGGUGCGUCUCCAGUCUGCGGGGUACAGGGUCUCGUCCAGACAGGAGGCUGCAUGGUGCUGCUUGUAGCGAGUGACUCGUUUGUAGUUGGCACGCCCCGUGCAGCUGAGGAUGACCCCAUGGCUUGGCCCCGGGACAGGACCCAGGCCCCAGGAAAUAGCAGCAAACCUGAAAGUAGAGAAGGAAGUGCCCACGGCCGGGGACCCAUGAUCGCCUGCUCUCCCUGGAGGGCGCUCAGGGCCCAGGAAGCAGCCGCAGCUGGCAGGCCAUGCGGCAACCCCGAGACCCGCAGAGAUGGCAGUGGGUGGGCCUGCAGAUCACUGCCCCGGGCACUGUGUCCUGCCUGAGGGGCUUGUUUCUGAACCACACAGAAAGGGGGGGGGCUCGUAAUCAAUGGUAUCAGGAUCAACAGGUGAAUAGUCGCUAGUUCUGCCAUGUGAGCCUUAAUCUUUUUUUUUUUUUUUUUGAGAGGGAGUCUCGCUCUGUCGCCCAGGCUGGAGUGCAGUGGCGCGAUCUCGGCUCACUGCAAGCUCCGCCUCCCGGGUUCACGCCAUUCUCCUGCCUCAGCCUCCUGAGUAGCUGGGACUACAGUCGCCCGCCACCGCGCCCGGCUAAUUUUUUGUAUUUUUAGAGAUGGGGUUUCACCGUGGUCUUGAUCUCUUGACCUUGUGAUCCGCCCGCCUCGGCCUCCCAAAGUGCUGGGAUUACAGGCGUGAGCCACCGCACCUGGCCUAGCCUUAAUCUUUUUAAAGCAAAACAGAGUUGAAGUUCUACCCUCCGAUACCUUUAGAUGUGACCAUACUAUUCCUACGCGUGUCUUCAGCUUUUCACCACACGUGAAUUGAUAAAAAUCAUUUGCAUUUUUACGUGUUACACCAAUACCAUCUCUCACUUGUUUUGCAACGGAACAAGGCUGUGUGCCCAUCUGCCAGGUGACAGCAUGGGUGGCUCCCCCGUAGUCCACCCGCCUCCUUCCGGCCUGUGACAGGUGUCACAGUGUGGCAAUGAACAUCCCUGCGUGGCCCAUGCCCGGGCCCUCAGGACGCAGUUGCCAAUCCCAGGGCCCAUGUCCUUAGUGUCAUGAGCUAGCACCAGCUGUCCCCAAAACAGCUGUCCCACCUGCGUUCCUGUUCCCCGGCAUCACUGCCAACACUUGGAAAAUCACACUUGCCAAUUUCUGCCAGUCGAUGGUGUACUUUGAGUGCAUUUCCAUGGAAAACAUCCUUUUUCUACAAUUCCAAGCUAACAGCAUUAAUUAGCAGCAGUGAGUCACGGGGAGGCUGGGAUGAGAACAGGAGGUACUUUCGCUGUCUUUGCUAAAUACUUGAACUGUUUACAAGAAUGUAUUACUUUAGUAAACAGAAAAGAAAGAU